UAAUUUAUCUAAGGCAAAUCUCGAUCUAGUUAUAACAAAUCCACAUAUAACUGCUCAGAAUCACCAGUAAAAAUUACUUUGUGAAAAAUAACAUUUUAAGAU
Non-coding RNA from Populus trichocarpa (black cottonwood), 102 nucleotides. The record is from Rfam. NCBI's taxonomy places the organism in Eukaryota, Viridiplantae, Streptophyta, Magnoliopsida, Malpighiales, Salicaceae.